This 253-nucleotide ribosomal RNA is filed under the name uncultured bacterium. RNAcentral's name for it is "partial 16S ribosomal RNA". It matches the Rfam family "Bacterial small subunit ribosomal RNA", at positions 524 to 776 of the family's 1533-position model. The record is from RNAcentral.
UACGGAGGGCGCAAGCGUUGUUCGGAAUCAUUGGGCGUAAAGCGCGUGUAGGCGGUCUGGUAAGUCGGGUGUGAAAGCCCGGGGCUCAACCCCGGAACUGCAUUCGAAACUGCCAGACUCGAGUCCCGGAGAGGGUGGUGGAAUUCCCGGUGUAGAGGUGAAAUUCGUAGAUAUCGGGAGGAACACCAGUGGCGAAGGCGACCACCUGGACGGUGACUGACGCUGAGACGCGAAAGCGUGGGGAGCAAACAGG